RNAcentral lists this ribosomal RNA (2923 nucleotides) under Klebsiella pneumoniae. RNAcentral describes it as "bacterial LSU rRNA". It matches the Rfam family "Bacterial large subunit ribosomal RNA". The record is from RNAcentral. Lineage: Bacteria; Pseudomonadati; Pseudomonadota; Gammaproteobacteria; Enterobacterales; Enterobacteriaceae.
GGGUUGUGAGGUUAAGCGACUAAGCGUACACGGUGGAUGCCCUGGCAGUCAGAGGCGAUGAAGGACGUGCUAAUCUGCGAAAAGCGUCGGUAAGGUGAUAUGAACCGUUAUAACCGGCGAUGUCCGAAUGGGGAAACCCAGUGUGAUUCGUCACACUAUCGUUAACUGAAUACAUAGGUUAACGAGGCGAACCGGGGGAACUGAAACAUCUAAGUACCCCGAGGAAAAGAAAUCAACCGAGAUUCCCCCAGUAGCGGCGAGCGAACGGGGAGCAGCCCAGAGUCUGAAUCAGCUUGUGUGUUAGUGGAACGGUCUGGAAAGUCCGACGGUACAGGGUGAUAGUCCCGUACACCAAAAUGCACAGGUUGUGAACUCGAAGAGUAGGGCGGGACACGUGGUAUCCUGUCUGAAUAUGGGGGGACCAUCCUCCAAGGCUAAAUACUCCUGACUGACCGAUAGUGAACCAGUACCGUGAGGGAAAGGCGAAAAGAACCCCGGCGAGGGGAGUGAAAAAGAACCUGAAACCGUGUACGUACAAGCAGUGGGAGCACCUUCGGGUGUGACUGCGUACCUUUUGUAUAAUGGGUCAGCGACUUAUAUUCUGUAGCAAGGUUAACCGUAUAGGGGAGCCGCAGGGAAACCGAGUCUUAACUGGGCGUUAAGUUGCAGGGUAUAGACCCGAAACCCGGUGAUCUAGCCAUGGGCAGGUUGAAGGUUGGGUAACACUAACUGGAGGACCGAACCGACUAAUGUUGAAAAAUUAGCGGAUGACUUGUGGCUGGGGGUGAAAGGCCAAUCAAACCGGGAGAUAGCUGGUUCUCCCCGAAAGCUAUUUAGGUAGCGCCUCGUGAACUCAUCUUCGGGGGUAGAGCACUGUUUCGGCUAGGGGGUCAUCCCGACUUACCAACCCGAUGCAAACUACGAAUACCGAAGAAUGUUAUCACGGGAGACACACGGCGGGUGCUAACGUCCGUCGUGAAGAGGGAAACAACCCAGACCGCCAGCUAAGGUCCCAAAGUCAUGGUUAAGUGGGAAACGAUGUGGGAAGGCACAGACAGCCAGGAUGUUGGCUUAGAAGCAGCCAUCAUUUAAAGAAAGCGUAAUAGCUCACUGGUCGAGUCGGCCUGCGCGGAAGAUGUAACGGGGCUAAACCAUGCACCGAAGCUGCGGCAGCGACACUAUGUGUUGUUGGGUAGGGGAGCGUUCUGUAAGCCUGCGAAGGUGUGCUGUGAGGCAUGCUGGAGGUAUCAGAAGUGCGAAUGCUGACAUAAGUAACGAUAAAGCGGGUGAAAAGCCCGCUCGCCGGAAGACCAAGGGUUCCUGUCCAACGUUAAUCGGGGCAGGGUGAGUCGACCCCUAAGGCGAGGCCGAAAGGCGUAGUCGAUGGGAAACAGGUUAAUAUUCCUGUACUUGGUGUUACUGCGAAGGGGGGACGGAGAAGGCUAUGUUAGCCGGGCGACGGUUGUCCCGGUUUAAGCAUGUAGGCUGGUUAUCCAGGCAAAUCCGGAUAAUCAAGGCUGAGGUGUGAUGACGAGGCACUACGGUGCUGAAGUAACAAAUGCCCUGCUUCCAGGAAAAGCCUCUAAGCAUCAGGUAACAUCAAAUCGUACCCCAAACCGACACAGGUGGUCAGGUAGAGAAUACCAAGGCGCUUGAGAGAACUCGGGUGAAGGAACUAGGCAAAAUGGUGCCGUAACUUCGGGAGAAGGCACGCUGGUGUGUAGGUGAAGUCCCUGCGGAUGGAGCUGAGACCAGUCGAAGAUACCAGCUGGCUGCAACUGUUUAUUAAAAACACAGCACUGUGCAAACACGAAAGUGGACGUAUACGGUGUGACGCCUGCCCGGUGCCGGAAGGUUAAUUGAUGGGGUUAUCCGUAAGGAGAAGCUCUUGAUCGAAGCCCCGGUAAACGGCGGCCGUAACUAUAACGGUCCUAAGGUAGCGAAAUUCCUUGUCGGGUAAGUUCCGACCUGCACGAAUGGCGUAAUGAUGGCCAGGCUGUCUCCACCCGAGACUCAGUGAAAUUGAACUCGCUGUGAAGAUGCAGUGUACCCGCGGCAAGACGGAAAGACCCCGUGAACCUUUACUAUAGCUUGACACUGAACAUUGAGCCUUGAUGUGUAGGAUAGGUGGGAGGCUUUGAAGCGUGGACGCCAGUCUGCGUGGAGCCAACCUUGAAAUACCACCCUUUAAUGUUUGAUGUUCUAACGUUGGCCCCUGACCGGGGUUGCGGACAGUGUCUGGUGGGUAGUUUGACUGGGGCGGUCUCCUCCCAAAGCGUAACGGAGGAGCACGAAGGUUAGCUAAUCCUGGUCGGACAUCAGGAGGUUAGUGCAAUGGCAUAAGCUAGCUUGACUGCGAGCGUGACGGCGCGAGCAGGUGCGAAAGCAGGUCAUAGUGAUCCGGUGGUUCUGAAUGGAAGGGCCAUCGCUCAACGGAUAAAAGGUACUCCGGGGAUAACAGGCUGAUACCGCCCAAGAGUUCAUAUCGACGGCGGUGUUUGGCACCUCGAUGUCGGCUCAUCACAUCCUGGGGCUGAAGUAGGUCCCAAGGGUAUGGCUGUUCGCCAUUUAAAGUGGUACGCGAGCUGGGUUUAGAACGUCGUGAGACAGUUCGGUCCCUAUCUGCCGUGGGCGCUGGAGAAUUGAGGGGGGCUGCUCCUAGUACGAGAGGACCGGAGUGGACGCAUCACUGGUGUUCGGGUUGUCAUGCCAAUGGCACUGCCCGGUAGCUAAAUGCGGAAGAGAUAAGUGCUGAAAGCAUCUAAGCACGAAACUUGCCCCGAGAUGAGUUCUCCCUGAGACUUUAAGUCUCCUGAAGGAACGUUGAAGACGACGACGUUGAUAGGCCGGGUGUGUAAGCGCAGCGAUGCGUUGAGCUAACCGGUACUAAUGAACCGUGAGGCUUAACCUUACAACGCCGAAG